Molecule: ribosomal RNA, 1369 nt
Filed under: uncultured bacterium
Lineage: Bacteria
Description: bacterial SSU rRNA
Rfam family: Bacterial small subunit ribosomal RNA
Source: RNAcentral
GACGAACGCUGGCGGCGUGCCUAAUACAUGCAAGUAGAACGCUGAAGAGAGGAGCUUGCUCUUCUUGGAUGAGUUGCGAACGGGUGAGUAACGCGUAGGUAACCUGCCUUGUAGCGGGGGAUAACUAUUGGAAACGAUAGCUAAUACCGCAUAACAAUGGAUGACACAUGUCAUUUAUUUGAAAGGGGCAAUUGCUCCACUACAAGAUGGACCUGCGUUGUAUUAGCUAGUAGGUGAGGUAACGGCUCACCUAGGCGACGAUACAUAGCCGGCCUGAGAGGGUGAUCGGCCACACUGGGACUGAGACACGGCCCAGACUCCUACGGGAGGCAGCAGUAGGGAAUCUUCGGCAAUGGGGGCAACCCUGACCGAGCAACGCCGCGUGAGUGAAGAAGGUUUUCGGAUCGUAAAGCUCUGUUGUAAGUCAAGAACGAGUGUGAGAGUGGAAAGUUCACACUGUGACGGUAGCUUAUCAGAAAGGGACGGCUAACUACGUGCCAGCAGCCGCGGUAAUACGUAGGUCCCGAGCGUUGUCCGGAUUUAUUGGGCGUAAAGCGAGCGCAGGCGGUUUGAUAAGUCUGAAGUUAAAGGCUGUGGCUCAACCAUAGUUCGCUUUGGAAACUGUCAAACUUGAGUGCAGAAGGGGAGAGUGGAAUUCCAUGUGUAGCGGUGAAAUGCGUAGAUAUAUGGAGGAACACCGGUGGCGAAAGCGGCUCUCUGGUCUGUAACUGACGCUGAGGCUCGAAAGCGUGGGGAGCGAACAGGAUUAGAUACCCUGGUAGUCCACGCCGUAAACGAUGAGUGCUAGGUGUUGGAUCCUUUCCGGGAUUCAGUGCCGCAGCUAACGCAUUAAGCACUCCGCCUGGGGAGUACGACCGCAAGGUUGAAACUCAAAGGAAUUGACGGGGGCCCGCACAAGCGGUGGAGCAUGUGGUUUAAUUCGAAGCAACGCGAAGAACCUUACCAGGUCUUGACAUCCCGAUGCUAUUUCUAGAGAUAGAAAGUUACUUCGGUACAUCGGUGACAGGUGGUGCAUGGUUGUCGUCAGCUCGUGUCGUGAGAUGUUGGGUUAAGUCCCGCAACGAGCGCAACCCCUAUUGUUAGUUGCCAUCAUUCAGUUGGGCACUCUAGCGAGACUGCCGGUAAUAAACCGGAGGAAGGUGGGGAUGACGUCAAAUCAUCAUGCCCCUUAUGACCUGGGCUACACACGUGCUACAAUGGUUGGUACAACGAGUUGCGAGUCGGUGACGGCAAGCUAAUCUCUUAAAGCCAAUCUCAGUUCGGAUUGUAGGCUGCAACUCGCCUACAUGAAGUCGGAAUCGCUAGUAAUCGCGGAUCAGCACGCCGCGGUGAAUACGUUCCCGGGCCU